UUUGAUCUUUGUUUUGUUUUCUGAAUCAGACUCUCACUACAUAGCUUUCUCCAUCCUGCAACUUUUACUAUGUGGACAAGGCUGGCUUGGAUUCACAGAGAUCUAUCAUCCAAAGGAGGGGUUGACAUCAAGUGCCAAUACUUUAAUAGAUGUCUUUUGGCUUCUAAAAUAGCAGUUACAGAUUUUAUGAGGAAAUAUCUCUCUGUAACGGUGUUGUUUCUUUGUUUUAUGUUUUGGUGUUUGCAGUAUUUUAUCACUUUGCUGACUUGCUUAUGGUAGCUAACACAGAACAGUUUAUGUACCAUGUCUGUGAGAUCACUGAGAAGGGCAUGGGCAGAGCUUUAGGCUCUUGUGAUAUUGCACUGUGUCCUAAGGAGCUAAGGGUCAGGCCACGACAGAUGAGACACUCUGUGGAGAAUGGCUUGGACACCUGAGCCACAAUACUAAUACCCCAAGCAUACAAUGUGCAUGCUUUUUUUAGUGCAGUCAUAACACAGACAUCACUACAUGCGUGCAUGAUGCCCCCAAGAACAUACCAUUAACUUAGAAAUGGCUAACACAUUCCAUCAGGUGCUAGGCCUGUUAUCAAGAAGCCCAAUAUAAGAAAUAGGGUAAGAUGUGAGUUUACAGCACAAGCCCAGUUGCCAUGGGUCUAGAAGAAGUAAGUUUUAGGUUGACCUCACAAUGCUCUGAGUGAACUGGUAGCCAGGAUGCCACUGGAAUAAGGCCCAAUAGAAGAAACGCAAUACUUAGCAGCCCAAUGGCAUGCUGCUCCAUUGUUGUCUGGUUCAUGGGACACCAAUCCCAUGCUGACAUCAGGGAGGACCGGUAGCCAUGCACAACAGAUUCUCUGUAGAAUGUCAAACCUCAGCUGCCUUCAUGGAGAAGACUCCUGUACUGUGCUCACAUCCAUGGUCCAGAGGCCCUUUGCCAGGCAGCUCAGCCCACACCAGGUUCAGCAUGGCGGGCAGAUCCUCUAAGACAGUGAUUCUCUAUUUGGGAGUCGCAUAUCAGGCGGUGCAUAAACAAUGAAGGAGGAGAGCCUGAGGGCAUAACCUACCAAUGACUUCACACCCAUCCCAUGGACAAGAAGCAAUCCCUGACACUGUCAACGAUAUGGUCAUGCUUAUAGACCAGAACCUAACGUUAGAUAACAGCACAUCUGAAGAGAGUUUGUGACAAUAGUGUUGCCACUUUGAUGGUGAUCCCAUCCUCCUCUGAAACUGUAAGCAAAAUUAAAAUCUUUUAUGAAGUGCCUUAGACACUGUGUUUUAUCACAGCGACAGAAAAGGCACUAAUACACACCCAUAAAGUUUUACACCUGAACGAGUAACUCAUGUAAUGGAAGAGCAUUGCAUCAGCAAGUGCAAACAAAAUAAAGAGGGGCAUCAUAUCAUAAUGCUUGAAUAAA
Molecule: small RNA, 1411 nt
Filed under: Rattus norvegicus (Norway rat)
Lineage: Eukaryota; Metazoa; Chordata; Mammalia; Rodentia; Muridae
Description: uncharacterized LOC102549488
Source: RNAcentral